CCAAAACAAAACGAGAGGGACCAAUG
This 26-nucleotide non-coding RNA is filed under the name Rattus norvegicus (Norway rat). The record is from RNAcentral. Lineage: Eukaryota; Metazoa; Chordata; Mammalia; Rodentia; Muridae.